ACUCAAAGGAAUUGACGGGGGCCCGCACAAGCAGCGGAGCGUGUUGCUUAAUUCGAUGCAACGCGAAGAACCUUACCUGGGUUUGACAUGCUCGGAAAAGCCGUAGAGAUACGGUGUCCUUCGGGGCCGAGCACAGGUGGUGCAUGGCUGUCGUCAGCUCGUGUCGUGAGAUGUUGGGUUAAGUCCCGCAACGAGCGCAACCCUUAUUCUAUGUUGCCAGCACGUAAUGGUGGGGACUCGUAGGAGACUGCCGGGGUCAACUCGGAGGAAGGUGGGGACGACGUCAAGUCAUCAUGCCCCUUAUAUCCAGGGCUGCAAACACGCUACAAUGGCCGGUACAAAGGGCUGCAAGCUCGUGAGAGUGAGCGAAUCCCAUAAAGCCGGUCUCAGUUCGGAUUGAAGGCUGCAACUCGCCUUCAUGAAGCUGGAGUUGCUAGUAAUCCCGGAUCAGCACGCCGGGGUGAAUACGUUCCCGGGCCUUGUACACACCGCCCGU
RNAcentral lists this ribosomal RNA (496 nucleotides) under uncultured bacterium. RNAcentral describes it as "partial 16S ribosomal RNA". It matches the Rfam family "Bacterial small subunit ribosomal RNA", at positions 899 to 1397 of the family's 1533-position model. The record is from RNAcentral.